UCGGGAAUUUUGGGCAAUGGGCGAAAGCCUGACCCAGCAACGCCGCGUGAAGGAUGAAGUAUUUCGGUAUGUAAACUUCGAAAGAAUAGGAAGAAUAAAUGACGGUACUAUUUAUAAGGUCCGGCUAACUUCGUGCCAGCAGCCGCGGUAAUACGAAGGGUGCUAGCGUUGUUCGGAAUCACUGGGCGUAAAGCGCGCGUAGGCGGCGAUAUAAGUCAGAGGUGAAAGCCUGGAGCUCAACUCCAGAACUGCCUUUGAAACUAUAUUGCUAGAGUGUCGGAGGGGAUAGCGGAAUUGCUAAUGUAGAGGUGAAAUUCGUAGAUAUUAGCAGGAACACCGGUGGCGAAGGCGGCUAUCUGGACGACAACUGACGCUGAGGCGCGAAAGCGUGGGGAUCAAACAGGAUUAGAUACCCACGUAGUCCCUGAGCGGGCUGGCAAGGCGCAU
RNAcentral lists this ribosomal RNA (447 nucleotides) under uncultured bacterium. RNAcentral describes it as "bacterial SSU rRNA". It matches the Rfam family "Bacterial small subunit ribosomal RNA", at positions 355 to 825 of the family's 1533-position model. The record is from RNAcentral.